Molecule: long non-coding RNA, 1366 nt
Filed under: Anas platyrhynchos platyrhynchos (common mallard)
Lineage: Eukaryota; Metazoa; Chordata; Aves; Anseriformes; Anatidae
Description: lncRNA (ENSAPLG00000018590.1)
Source: RNAcentral
GGGCCGGGCCCUUCCCGGUGGCGGCGGCGGCAGCGGAAGCGGCCCCGGGGCUGAUUGACAGCUCGGCCAGCCAAUCAGCGCCGCCCCCGAGCCCCCCCGAGCCCCGCCCACCCCCGGUCCCCAUGGCAACGGCGCGGGGGGGAUGCGGGGGGCGGGGCCUGGGGCGUCGCCAUGGCAACCGCAGCCAGGCCACGCCCCCCGCGGCCGCUGAUUGGCUGCGCCGCGCGGCGGGCGGGAAACGGCGGCAAAAUGGCGGCGCGAGGCCACGCCCACCUCGGAGGCCGGAAGUGAGGCGACGCUCUAUGCCCCCGGACGCGACUCUAUGGUUUCUCCCCCCCUCCCAUUGGGUUAUAUGGAGGGGGCGUGGCUUAGGGGGGCGGAGCGCGCUGUGAUUGGACGAGGCGCGUGCCAAUCACCCUUAAGCCCCCCCCCCCCUUCCCCAUAAACCCGGAAGUGCCCCCAGAUUCCCUCUCCCUUUCGCCCCGCCCACCCCGCUCGGGCGGAAGUGACGCAGAGGGGGCGGGGCCUCGACAGGAAGCCGGAAGUGACGCCCAGGUGCGGGCCCAGGCCGGCGGCGGAGCGCUGUGAUUGGCCGAGAUGGAAGGGGGGGAAGCAGCAGCCAAUGGGAGCGCGGCGGCCACGGAGGAGGCGGCCAAUGGGCAGCGAGCGCCCCCAGGGUGCGGCCAAUGAGGGAGCAGGGAGCUGGCAGCCGGCCAAUGAGCAGCUAGAAGGGCGGGGAGCCAGCGAGGAUUCAGCCAAUGAGGACGCAAGGAGCCGGGAGGCAGCCAAUGAGGGCGCGAGGCCACGGGGAGCGGCCAAUGAGAACGCAGCACGCCCGGAGCCGACCAAUGGGGAGGCCGCGUCGCUCCCUGGGCCGUCCAAUCAGGCGGCGGCGCCGGUGCCGUCAGCCAAUGAGGCGUGGGAUUGGCGCAGCGAGGAGGCGUGGCUCCGGGAGCCCUGCGGGGACGAGGACGGCGACCAAUGGGAGCUGGGGGAGGCAGCCAAUGAGAAGGCGGGAGGCUGGGAGCCAGCCAAUGGCAGCGCAGAACGCAAGGAGGUGAAUGACGUCAACCAGAACCCAAGUGACGUCAUCAAGGGGCCCGAAAACCCAACAAAGGAACCCAAAAAUCCAACUGAUGUCAACCAGAACCCAACUGACAUCAUCAAGGACCCCAAAAAGACGACUGGAGACCCCAAAAUCCCAACAAAUGACCCCAAAAAAACAACUGAUGUCAUCCAGGACCCCAAAAACCCAAAAAAGGACCCCAAAAACUCAAUGGAGGACCCCAAAAACCCAACUGACGUCAACAGGAACCCAAGUGACGUCAUCAAGGACCCUGAAAACCCAACAAAUGACCCCAAAAAC